RNAcentral lists this non-coding RNA (374 nucleotides) under Enterocytozoon bieneusi H348. Its description in RNAcentral is "Archaeal large subunit ribosomal RNA". It matches the Rfam family "Archaeal large subunit ribosomal RNA", at positions 1 to 478 of the family's 2987-position model. Lineage: Eukaryota; Fungi; Microsporidia; Enterocytozoonidae. The record is from Rfam by way of RNAcentral.
GUGUAUUUGGAAAUAUCCCUAAUACAGGAUCACUUGGAUCCGUCGGCGAUGACGAGCGCGAAAGAAUGCGAAAAGUCCUCACGGAAUGCUCUAAUUAUGAGAUAAUCUCAUGGAUACUCCCUGGACUUAAGCAUAUCAUUAAGGGAAGGAAAAGAAACUAACUAGGAUUCCGUUAGUAGUGGCGAAUGAACACGGAAGAGCUCCAAUGGUAAAGCCUAAGUGCUGUUGUAAUGUAGCCUCCGAAAACAUUCUGGAAAGGAUGACCACAGUGGGUGAUAGUCCCAGAGGAGGAUGUAAAGAAUAGAGUAGUGCUGCUUGGUAGUGCAGUAUGAAGAGGAGGUAGAAACUUCUAAAGCUAAAUACAGACGAUACCG